AAUCAUAAUGGCCGAAAAUCUAAGGUUUCCUGGGGAAGGUUCGUCCGCCCAGGGUAAGCCGGGAGCUAAGGCGAGGCCGCAAGGCGUAGUCGAUGCACAUACGGUAGAAAUUCCGUAGCCGGUACAAUUGUUAAUCACGGUGACACAUGAGUAUAGCUCUACCGGGCGUUGGUAGCCCCGGGCGUAAGCGAGCCGAAUGAGGCGAAGUGAGUAAAGCUUGUGGCGAGAAAAGCCGUGUGGAUUGGUUGUACUGCCCGUACCGCAAACCGACACAGGUAGAUGAGGAGAAGAUCCUAAGGCCAACGGGAGAAGGGUUGUUAAGGAACUAGGCAAAUUGACCCCGUAACUUCGGAAUAAGGGGUGCCUACGAAAGUAGGUCGCAGAGAAUAGGCCCAAGCAACUGUUUACCAAAAACACAGGUCUCUGCUAAAUCGAAAGAUGACGUAUAGGGGCUGACGCCUGCCCGGUGCUGGAAGGUUAAGAGGAGAGCUUAGGGAAACCGAAGGUUCGAAUUGAAGCCCCAGUAAACGGCGGCCGUAACUAUAACGGUCCUAAGGUAGCGAAAUUCCUUGUCAGGUAAGUUCUGACCCGCACGAAAGGCGUAAUGAUUUGGGCACUGUCUCAACAGCCCGCCCGGCGAAAUUGUAGUACCGGUGAAGAUGCCGGUUACCCGCAACUAGACGGAAAGACCCCAUGGAGCUUUACUGCAGCUUAAUACUGAGAUUCGGUAAAUCAUGUACAGGAUAGGUGGGAGACUGUGAAGUCUGGGCGUCAGCUCAGAUGGAGUCGACCUUGGGAUACCACCCUUGAUUUGCUGGAUUUCUAACCUGCGGCCGUGAAUCCGGUCGGGGGACACUGUUAGGCGGGCAGUUUGACUGGGGCGGUCGCCUCCUAAAAUGUAACGGAGGCGCUCAAAGGUUGGCUCAGCAUGGAUGGAAACCAUGCAAUGAGUGUAAACGUAUAAGCCAGCCUGACUGCGAGACCGACGGGUCGAGCAGAGACGAAAGUCGGAGUUAGUGAUCCGGUGGUAUGUGAGUGGAAAUGCCAUCGCUCAACGGAUAAAAGCUACCCUGGGGAUAACAGGCUGAUCUCCCCCAAGCGUCCACAGCGACGGGGAGGUUUGGCACCUCGAUGUCGGCUCGUCGCAUCCUGGGGCUGAAUUAGGUCCCAAGGGUUUGGCUGUUCGCCAAUUAAAGCGGCACGCGAGCUGGGUUCAGAACGUCGUGAGACAGUUCGGUCCCUAUCUGUUGCGGGCGUAGGAGAUUUGAAGGGAGCUGUCCUUAGUACGAGAGGACCGGGAUGGACAUACCUCUGGUGUACCAGUUGUUCUGCCAAGGGCACGGCUGGGUAGCUACGUAUGGACGAGAUAAACGCUGAAGGCAUCUAAGCGUGAAACUCCCCCUAAGAUAAGAUCUCCACUGAGGCUCGACGUAGACUAUGUCGUAGAUAGGUCAGAGGUGGAAGCGCUGAGAGGCGUGGAGCUGACUGAUACUAAUAAGCCGAAAGCUUGACCA
This 1514-nucleotide ribosomal RNA is filed under the name human gut metagenome. RNAcentral describes it as "bacterial LSU rRNA". It matches the Rfam family "Bacterial large subunit ribosomal RNA", at positions 1326 to 2925 of the family's 2925-position model. The record is from RNAcentral.